AAGAGAAUGAUUAAACAAUUAAAAGCUUUCUUUAAUUAAAUAAUUGAAUUUAAUUUUUUAGUGCAAAAGCAAAAAUAAAAAUUAGGGACAAGAAGACCCUAUGAAUUUUUUAUUAAAUUUUAUAAAACUUUUUAUAAAAUUUAAUUUAAUUGGGGUGAUGGAAAAAGAAUAAAUAUCUUUUUUUUAAAAGAAAAUUGGUUCCGUUUUUAGCGAUUAAAUGAAAAAAAUACUCUAGGGAUAACAGCGUAAUAAUUUUGGAUAGUUCAUAUAGAUAAAAUAGUUUGCGACCUCGAUGUUGGAUUAGGAUUCUUUUUUGGUGAAGAAGUUAAAAAAAGAAGUUUGUUCAACUUAUAAUUUCCU
RNAcentral lists this ribosomal RNA (360 nucleotides) under Ixodes ricinus (castor bean tick). RNAcentral describes it as "partial large subunit ribosomal RNA". The stretch from base 237 to 360 matches the Rfam family "Bacterial large subunit ribosomal RNA", at positions 2473 to 2597 of the family's 2925-position model. Lineage: Eukaryota; Metazoa; Arthropoda; Arachnida; Ixodida; Ixodidae. The record is from RNAcentral.